AAGAGUUGCAAAACUCCCAAACCCUUGUGAACAUACCUGUUUCUGUUGCUUCGGUGGGCGGCCCCAGGGCGGGGCCGCAGCCUUCUCGUGAGGUGCCCGCCGGAGGUAUAAACUCUGUAUUAUAUUAGUCUCUCUGAGUGAUUUACGAAUAAGUUA
This 156-nucleotide unclassified non-coding RNA is filed under the name uncultured Sordariomycetes. Its description in RNAcentral is "sequence contains ITS1". The record is from RNAcentral. Lineage: Eukaryota; Fungi; Ascomycota; Sordariomycetes.